UACGAAGGGUGCAAGCGUUAAUCGGAAUUACUGGGCGUAAAGCGUGCGCAGGCGGCUUUGCAAGACAGAUGUGAAAUCCCCGGGCUCAACCUGGGAACUGCAUUUGUGACUGCAAGGCUAGAGUACGGCAGAGGGGGAUGGAAUUCCGCGUGUAGCAGUGAAAUGCGUAGAUAUGCGGAGGAACACCAAUGGCGAAGGCAAUCCCCUGGGCCCGUACUGACGCUCAUGCACGAAAGCGUGGGGAGCAAACAGG
RNAcentral lists this ribosomal RNA (253 nucleotides) under uncultured bacterium. RNAcentral describes it as "partial 16S ribosomal RNA". It matches the Rfam family "Bacterial small subunit ribosomal RNA", at positions 524 to 776 of the family's 1533-position model. The record is from RNAcentral.